Molecule: long non-coding RNA, 570 nt
Filed under: Oryctolagus cuniculus (rabbit)
Lineage: Eukaryota; Metazoa; Chordata; Mammalia; Lagomorpha; Leporidae
Description: lncRNA (ENSOCUG00000033102.1)
Source: RNAcentral
CAGCUGGCUACCAAUAUGACCUUCACGAAUCAGUCUCCUUCCUCUGAGCUUCUGGGUCUUACCCUUAAAGUGAGGCCACAGAACUAGUCCACAGGGAACCUUCCAGUUCUGGUAUUCCAGGAAUCACUGGGAUCUCUGCCUAUGCAAACCAAAGUUUCCUGUGUUGUUUUGAUUUUGCCUCCUGCUGGUAUGUUAUUUCAGAGUGAGUUUGGGUUUGACUAGUACCUGGUGUUUUUCUUUUAUGUAUGGAGAUCUGAGUGAAGGUAAAGAGAACCUUGUUCUCAGGUGAUAUUCAGUACAUGUUUGCAGAAUGAAUAAGUUACACUAAUUAGGAUGAAAUAGAAUGUUGCUCUGAAUACGAAACCUGGGUCCAAUCUCGGUGCAUUGCUCCUCCUCACCUAGAGCUCUCCUGCCCACUUCUCCAAUUUCUGUGGAAACCGUGGCAGCUCUGGCGUCUGAAUGCUGUCAGAUGAAGUAAGAGGAUUGCCCCAAGCAGAUGCUUUGCCUCUGGACUUUUUUGCAGAAGUUUUUCUUGCCCCAUAUAAAUAAACUGAGUCCCGGCUGCUCCGC